GUGCCAGCCGCCGCGGUAAUACGGAGGGUGCAAGCGUUGUUCGGAAUUAUUGGGCGUAAAGCGCGUGUAGGCGGUCACGCAAGUCAGAUGUGAAAGCCUUCCGCUUAACGGAAGAAGUGCAUUUGAAACUGCGUGACUAGAGUACGGGAGAGGAGAGUGGAAUUCCCGGUGUAGAGGUGAAAUUCGUAGAUAUCGGGAGGAACACCAGUGGCGAAGGCGGCUCUCUGGCCUAAUACUGACGCUGAGACGCGAAAGCGUGGGGAGCAAACAGGAUUAGAUACCCGCGUAGUCC
This 292-nucleotide ribosomal RNA is filed under the name uncultured bacterium. RNAcentral describes it as "partial 16S ribosomal RNA". It matches the Rfam family "Bacterial small subunit ribosomal RNA", at positions 505 to 796 of the family's 1533-position model. The record is from RNAcentral.